GGGGCGGGCCCCUGCGUCUCUGGGCGCUGGAGGGCGGUGACAGCCACGCUGCGGGGCGCACGGACGGACGGACGGACGGACGGACGGACUCACUCGCCAGGGCCAUGGCGGAAAGCGCCCCUCGCCGCUGCUGCCUGGGCUGGGACUUCAGCACGCAGCAGGUAAAGGUUGUCGCUGUUGAUGCCGAGAUGAAUGUCUUCUAUGAGGAAAGUGUGCAUUUUGACAGAGACCUUCCAGAAUUUGGGACUCGGGGCGGUGUUCACGUGCACAAGGAUGGGCUGACGGUCACUUCUCCAGUCCUAAUGUGGGUCCAGGCACUGGAUAUCAUCUUGGAGAAGAUGAAGGCUUCGGGCUUUGACUUCUCUCAAGUCCUAGCUUUGUCCGGGGCAGGCCAGCAACACGGAAGUAUAUACUGGCAGGCUGGAGCCCAGCAGGCACUGAAAAGCCUCUCACCAGACCUCCCGCUACACCAGCAGCUGCAGGCCUGUUUCUCCAUCAACGACUGCCCGGUGUGGAUGGACUCCAGCACCACAGCCCAGUGCCGCCAGCUGGAGGCUGCUGUGGGCGGGGCUCAGGCUCUCAGCUGCCUCACAGGCUCUCGAGCCUACGAGCGAUUUACAGGAAACCAAAUUGCAAAAAUUUACCAGCAGAAUCCCAAGGCCUACUCACACACAGAGAGAAUUUCUUUGGUCAGUAGCUUUGCCGCUUCCCUGUUCCUUGGCUCUUACUCCCCUAUUGACUACAGCGAUGGAUCUGGAAUGAAUUUGCUGCACAUACAGGAUAAAGUCUGGUCCCAGGCUUGCCUUGGCUCCUGUGCACCUCAUUUAGAGGAGAAGCUUGGCCCACCAGUGCCAUCAUGCUCAGUUGUGGGAGCCAUUUCUUCCUUCUACGUCCAGCGCUACGGAUUUCCUCCAGGAUGCAAAGUGGUGGCUUUCACUGGGGACAACCCAGCGUCGCUGGCAGGCAUGAGAUUGGAGGAAGGCGACAUUGCGGUCAGCCUGGGCACCAGUGACACCCUGUUUCUCUGGCUCCAAGAGCCCAUGCCCGCCCUGGAAGGCCACAUCUUCUGCAACCCGGUUGACCCCCAGCACUACAUGGCGCUCCUGUGCUUUAAAAAUGGCUCCCUCAUGAGAGAGAAGAUCCGCGAUGAGUUCGCGUCCUGUUCUUGGAGCGAGUUCUCUAAGGCACUGCAGUCCACAGAGAUGGGCAACGGUGGAAACCUGGGUUUUUAUUUUGAUGUAAUGGAGAUCACCCCUGAAAUUAUUGGACGUCAUAGGUUUAACACAGAAAAGCGCAAGGUCUCAGCAUUCCCUGGGGAUAUGGAGGUUCGAGCACUGAUUGAAGGACAAUUCAUGGCCAAGAGGAUUCAUGCAGAAGGCCUGGGCUAUCGAGUCAUGUCCAAGACAAAGAUUUUGGCCACAGGAGGAGCAUCUCACAAUAGAGACAUCUUACAGGUGCUUGCAGAUGUGUUUGGUGCCCCGGUGUAUGUUAUAGACACUGCCAACUCGGCCUGCCUGGGUUCUGCAUACCGAGCUUUUCAUGGUCUUGCAGGUGGAACAGAUGUGCCCUUUUCAGAGGUUGUGAAGUUAGCUCCAAAUCCCAGACUAGCUGCUACCCCAAGCCCGGGAGCUUCUCAGAAGAACAAGAUGGUGAGGAAACAGUCACACUUCAAAUACAUAACCCAAGAGAGAAUACUGGAAUUCAACAGAGAAGGGACAGGAAACACUGUCAGUGAAGGAGAAGGGAGAGACGUACGCCACUGGUCAGGAUCAGCUGUGAGCCAGGAGUGACUUCCCAGCAUAGGUGAGUGAGAGACAGAGCAGCUCACAUCUCCUCUGUGGAAUCUUGCUGUCCCAGCCACAGGAGAACCCUGAACCCUGCCAACCCCUGAGGCUAACAUAGGCAGCUAGUGUGAGACCAUGGGACAGAGCUGCCCCGGGGAGGAAGCUUGAGCUGUGUUCCAUACCCUUUCUGAAAACUAAGCAGCUACAGCAAGCUGCCACUUUCAAACCCAGCCUUUGGGAGACUGCAUGCUAUCCUGGGGCCCAGUGCACCAGGACAGAAGCAUUUUGGAAAUUUGGGCUGUCAUUGUUGGGCCUGCAGAGUGAGCUGAGAAUGCUCCUACAGCCAGGGCUAAAAAGUGAGGCUGCUGGUGCCAGGAAGGAAAUACCACUGGAAUGGAGACUGGGACAUGAACUAGGCACGGGUUGCCACUGAGACUUGGUUGCCAGCUGGGUGAGGGUUCUUGCAGCUGUGGUAAGGGUGGUGUGUGGACUGCCACUGCCAAGGGCUGGGGGCAAGCGCUACCAGGAAAAGGGUAUGAGACGGAUGCUUGUUCCUCACCUGCUGGCCCGGGCUGCAGGCCCCCAAGGAGGGCCGUCUUCCAAGUCUCAGGCUCACAAAACCUGGGUGGGGACUGAGGCUGGGAAAGUGAGGGGGUGGUUCAGGAGAUCACUCUCCCCUGCUUGUACCUCUUACCUCAACCUCACCUUCUACUGCCCAUGGACCCUGCAGACCACCAGCCACCCUGACCAUGACCUUGGUCUCACCAUGUUCUUUUAGUGGAAGACAACCACAGGUCAACGGGGUCAGGCCAACCUAUAAAAACAUCUAGCAAGCACUAUUCCGUAAAAACAGCACGUGGGCCCUGUUCUGUUUAAUAGAUGGGGGAGUGAAAUGAAAACAAUAAAACAGCCUUGGGUUUACAAGACUGCCCAAGAUAGGUGGUCAGUUCAUGUUUUCAGGAGCUACACGGAAAUCAUUCGAUCACUUGGAAACAGCUCUGUGGUACUAGCAGGACGUCCGUAACUGACUAGCAGGAAAUGGAGUGUUUAGAGACAUUAAAACAAGCCAACCCACGCAGAGGGGAAGAGCUUCAGAGGGAGGGAUGUCAAACGGGUCUUAGGCAUAAUGAAAAGCCACAUGCUACCCCAGUAGUGGGAGUCAGUGUAACAAUGGGAUGGCACAGAAGAGUGCUGAGACAGAAAACAUUCUGAAGAUGAAUUAUUCACUCACGUAGUAUUAUAUUCUGCUAUUGGUCCUACACCUUUUAGAGGAUACAGAAGAAACUGCAGAAGACCCAGAACAGAACCUCAUGGCAGCUAAAAGUUUGACAUCUUCCAAUUGUAGAAAAGCCUUCAGAUCGGUUUUUUUUUUUUUUUUUUUGAGACGGAGUUUCGCUCUUGUUACCCAGGCUGGAGUGCAAUGGCGCAAUCUCGGCUCACUGCAACCUCCGCCUCCUGGAUUCAGGCAAUUCUCCUGCCUCAGCCUCCUGAGUAGCCGAGAUUACAGGCGCGCGCCACCAUGCCCAGCUAAUUUUUUGUAUUUUUAGUAGAGACAGGAUUUCACCAUGUUGACCAGGAUGGUCUUGAUCUCUUGACCUCGUGAUCUACCCGCCUCCGCCUCCCAAAGUGCUGGGAUUACAGGUGUGAGCCACUGCACCCGGCCCGAGAUUUCUUGUCUCUGAAGCUGCUGCCUACUGUCUGGCCAACCAGCUAAAGAAAUACAAGUGUGAGAAGCACAGACAUCACAGAACCUGUGCUGGGGGAGAAGACGCAGUUCAAGGCGGAGAAGCUGGCAGAAAAGUCGACACCAGCUGAGGAGCUCCGGUGCGUGAGGCUCUGUGUGGCAGGGCAGGGAGGUGGGAAGGUGUGUGAGUCUCUGAAGGGGGGCAAUUCAGCUGGAGAUCUAGCUGAAUUGAAUUCUCCUGGCUUACCUGGGCCAGGAGAAGGGCAGGAAUUUACAUAGCAGGCACAUGUCACACAAACAUUUAUACAACAUUUAGAGAACAACAAUACUAGUAAAUUAUGGGCUAUACUUGUUAUUCAAAACAAGUCAUUACAAGGCAAAACGUGCAUAACAAACUUAACCAAAGGGAAGUGAGCACUCAGCAGCAUUUAGUACACUCAAAAUGUGUAAUCACCACCACAAUUUCUCUUUUUGAAUGUUUCCUUUUAAUGUUUGUGUGUACACAGUAGGCAUAUAUAUUUGUGGGGUGCAUGAGAUAUUUUGGUACAGGCGUGCAAUGGGCAAUGGUGACAUCAUGUAAAAUGGGGUGUCUAUCUCCUCAAACAUUUGUUGUUUAUGUUGCAAAGAAUCCAAUUAUACUUUUCAUUAUUUUUAAAUGUACAAUGAAAUUAUUAGCAAUAGUUACAGUGUUGUGCUGUCAAAUACUAGGUCUUACUCAUUCUACUUUUUUUGCCCCCAUUAACUAUCCCCGUACUCUCAACCCACUGCCCUUCUCCAUCUCUGGUAACUAUCCUUCUACUAUCACCAUGAGUUCAAUUGUUUUGAUUUUGAGAUCCCACCAAUAAGUGAGAACACGUGAUGUUUGUCUUUCUGUGCCUGGCUAAUUGUACUUCACAUAAUGACCUCCAGUGCCAUCUAUGCUGCAGCGAAUGAAAACAUACCAUUCUUUUUUUACAGCUGCAUAGUACUCCAUUGUAAGUAAGUACCACAUUUUCUUUAUUCCUAGAAUCACCUCCUGACUUACUGGCUUCUCAUUCUUUCAUUCAAAGAGUGUUAUCUUCUUGACCCUGUCAUUCUUUUAUUCUUUUAUUUCUCUGAAUUGCCUCAACUGUACCUGGCCACAUUUCUGUGUGUGGCUUUGUGUCCAGUCACUGCAUAAUAUACUGUGUGUAUUUUAUUUUUUAUUUUUUGAAUAGGAAUCUUGCUGUGUUGCCAAGCUGGAGUGGUGCAGCGGCGCAAUCUCAGCUCACUGCAACCUCCGCCUCCCAGGUUCUUAAGUGAUUCCCCUGCCUCAGCCUCCCGAGUAGCUGGGACUACAGGUGCGUGCCACCAUGCCUGGCUAAAUUUUUUAUAUUUUUAAUAGAGACGGGGUUUCACCAUGUUGGCCAGGAUGAUCUCCAUUUCUUGACCUCGUGAUCCACCCACCUCAGCCUCUGAAAGUGCUGGGAUUACACAUGCCUGGCCAUGUAUUUUUACAUGGAAAUGUCCAUGGCCAAAGUGAGAAACUAAAGGGACAUCUUUCUGAAACAAAUUUGGUAAGGCAUCUGGAUUUCUUUACAGAGGAAAAUGAGGAAUGGAAUUUUGAAGAACCUUAUAGAAGCACUUUAAUACAGAGAAAGCCUUUAAUUAAAACUUUUUUUCCUUUUCAGGGGCAUUUCACCAAACAGGUGCUAAAAUUCUGCUUGGAGGGCUCCUUGAGGAUAUUCUCACAGAAAUCUGUUGCAAUUCUUAGUACUGAUCACUCAUUCCUCUGCACUCAUAUUUUCUCUACUAUCCUACCUUAGGUGAUACAAAGCCCUCGUUCACUCUUCAGGUAAGGACCAGGUUAUAGGACGGAAGAGAUGCCUCCCUCUUACUCACUCAGCAUCUGAAGGCCCUACUCACUGAUGAUGACCCUGACAACCAAGAGGGGCAGGACCUCCAAGAACAGCUGGCUGAGGGGUACAGGCUGGCAGAGUGUCUUGUCCGCAAGCUCAGCCAGAAAAUGAAGUUGAGGAUGAGGAUGCUACAUGUCUCUGUGCUCAUACAGCUCACUGUGUUUGCAGUGGGUGAAGUGGGAAGUAUCCGAAUGGACGCUACUGCCUUUGUUUGCAGAAAAUGAAGUUGAGGAUGAGGAUGCUAAAGAUGAGGAGGCUGAAAAAGUUGAAGAACCACUUGCUCCCAGGGAACAACGAAUAAUCAGGAGCCAGUAAUGGGAAGGGAGAUACAGGAGGCUGAAGAAAGGAAGUCCCUCAGAACUGGCUGGAGGAAUAUUCUACCACUUGUUCAAUUUGCCAUGAUCCUUCUGACUCCGACCAGCCUCAGAGGAGAGCCAAAAUCACAUCUGAUGAAGAGGAAGUCAACUCUGCUCUGGAUGUAGGCAGUGAAUCCUCACAUUACGAAGAGGAGGAAGAAGCACUAAGCAUUCUGCCAUGUAGCCUCUAUAUGCUUUGUCCUUUGUACUUUUGCCUGGGCUGAGAAAGGUCAACUCUGAAGACAGGCCCUAUAGAUACAUAUUGGUUUGAAUCAGGAAGUAGGAUUAAAUAUUAAACACAGAUAUCAGAAAAUCAAAUGAUAAUGAAGAGCAAGGGAAGCCGCCAGUGUCUCCCAGGGUCUCACUCAGUCAUGCAGAUGGAGUACAGUGGUAUCUCAUCAUGGCUCACUGCAUGAGCCAUGCCGUGACCUCCCUGGCUCCAGGGAUCCUUCUGCCUCAGUCUGGUUUCAGUUGCUUAAUCUCUCUCAAGCAUAGUAACCUAUGAUCAGUUGACUCGAGAACUCACCAAACUCAUGGAUUUCCUUAUAUCACCUGUCUUCUUCCACGUGGUUAAAUCCAGGCUGAGAUACCUGUUUGGUGUUGGCAUGUUGCCAACUAUUUGAUCACAAGAGAAGAAACUUAAGAAAAAAAAACCCAACUCCACAUUAUGUCAAGAUACGAGAGUUUUGUUUCUCUUUUCCUGUGAGUUUCUAAUCUGGGCAAUUCACCGAACACAAGCUAUCUCUGUCUCUCUCAAUCUUUCUGUCUCUCCCAACAUCUGAUGGCAGCCACACUCUGUCAUCCCACCAAGAAGAGAAUAAUGUGUACCUUUUGUUUUUUUGAGAUGGAGUCUCGCUCUGUUGCCCAGGCUGGAGUGCAGUGGUGCAAUCUCGGCUCACUGUAACCUCCACCUCCUGGGUUCAAGUGAUUUUCCUGCCUUAGCCUCCUGACUAGUUGGGACUACAGGUGCGCAGCACCAUGCCUGGCUAAUUUUUUGUAUUUCUAGUAGAGACAGGUUUCACCCUGUUAGCCAGGAUGGUCUCAAUGUCCUGAUCUCAUGAUCCACCCGCCUCGGCCUCCCAAAGUGCUGGGAUGACUUGAAUUUGUACCUUUUAUUUGGUCAGCCCCUUUGUUUUCUGCAACUGCUGCCUUAUGCCUUCCGUCAAAUCCAUCUAGGAGUCUGUGGUCCCUGACCCCCUUGGAUCAACCUUAGACCUUCAGUCUAACCUACCCCACCAGUCUCAGCAGGGAGGUGCCACAGGUGGCAGAGCAGUAAGUCCCCUGAAAGUCAUGGGAUGGAUGUUGUUUGACUCCUUCAAAUCCUGCUGACCUGUCUAGCUCCCAUCUGUCUUAAAGAAGCACCUUGUAGUCAUUUGAGGAACAAGUCCGCUUGGCUCCUGAUGAGGGAGAAGUGCUCCACAGUGAAUGUGGUAAACAUCCCAACAAUGUCUCAGGUAGACCUCAUAAUCCUUGUACUCUGAGCCUCAGAGUGGGCUAAGAGAUGUCAUCAAUGUACCCAGGAAUCAUAGACACGUGUUGUUUUGAAUCAGAUUCUAGAGUGGAAUUUGAAACACCGACAUGGGUUGGGUCAGUGAGCUUUGCUCUGUUCCUUGCCUCAGGCCAUGCCUGUGUCAUCCUGGGCCCACUGUCAGGAUACUGGAUCCAAGACAGAUGGGACAAAUUCACACCAACCUGUGCAGCGUAUUUCCAAGAGGUGUCUGUGUGAGAUGUCUUAAUUCGAAUAAAAUUUGUCUUGCCAGCUA
Callithrix jacchus (white-tufted-ear marmoset) is the source of this 7464-nucleotide non-coding RNA. NCBI's taxonomy places the organism in Eukaryota, Metazoa, Chordata, Mammalia, Primates, Cebidae. The record is from RefSeq and is a predicted model, not a curated record.